This 5215-nucleotide long non-coding RNA is filed under the name Triticum aestivum (bread wheat). RNAcentral's name for it is "long non-coding RNA (TAES_LNC021356)". The record is from RNAcentral. Lineage: Eukaryota; Viridiplantae; Streptophyta; Magnoliopsida; Poales; Poaceae.
UACUUUAUAAUCAUUAUUGAUAACAGCCAAUGUCAUAGGAGUACAAGAUUAAGCUCAACACAUUAUUUUAUUUCACUUGCUCGAUCUGUAACAGGGGCAACAGAUGGAGGUCGAACACAUGCAGAAAACAACAGCGAACACAUGCAAGGAGCAGCAACAGUAGACACCGAGUCGGCUAGCUAGCCUGGUGUGAUGAUGAUGCUGGCAGAUAACUUAGUGAAGGCUGGAAACGCACAGACACAAAAGCUCAACGAUUAAUCUUACUGUUUAUACUUACGAAUUAAGGUUUAAUAGCCAAUGAGUACUUAGAAUUAUAUAAUAUAAUCUUUCAAGUUAGGGGUGGAGGAUGUACGUGUUGCAGUCGACUUUGGUGUUGAUGGGGAAAGAGACGGAGACACCGCACUUGCCGGGGAUGUUGGCGGCGUUACCCAUGCUGAUGCCCGACCCGGCCAGCUUCUUGAGGCAGCGGCACGCCGCCUGCCGGUCGGCCGAGGUGGACGCCUUGGCGUUCAGGGUCCUCACCCCGCUGCAGCACCCCGCCGAGGGCGCCGACGCUUGCCCCGUCGCGUAGGACAUGCACGGCGCGACGGCGGACGUCACGUCGCCGCAGGUCACCGCCCCGGACGCCAUCUCCGCCACCGCCAGUGCGGCGAGCACGGCGAACACGGCGAGCAGUGCCACGCGAGCCAUCGAUCGAGGAUCUAGUGCUUCGGCUUGCUUGCUGGAAACCGUGGAGCUGGGAUGGAGUUGAGAGCUUGAUUAGCUUGUGUGGUGGUGGUGGUGGAGAUGGAAUAGAACUCCGUGGAGCGGGGUAUAAAUAGCCGGCGGGCGAGAGAUGGCUAGGAAGAAGAUAGGUGUUCUUGCAGCACUGCACUCCAGGGUGGCGGACGGUGGUGCGUGCAUGCACCGUACGUCCUACUACGUAGCUAAUGAGGCGUGCAUGCAUGCGCAUGAGGUGAGGGUUGUUGGGCGCUGCCGACCGUACGAUGUAUCAACCGGUCGCGUCCACUGCACGCAUGUGACGCUUUUUUAUUCACAUCUACUACUCCUCCAAUACAUAGUUAAGUCCAUACUGUGUAGUGUGCAGAUUCACAAAAGCUUCUGCGUGCAAAUAAUUCCAAUGUGAUUUUGCUCGUGUGAACGUAUGAAACCCGUAUCGAGCCAGUACUGUGUAGUGUGCAGAUUCAUCACUAAAAAAAAGUGCAGUGUGCAGAUCUGGACGAAGGACCAGUAUAGCUGGUGGGCCGUCGUUGUCAACACAAAAAAGGGACGGACAUGAACAUGAUACGGAGUAAAUUAUGUGUACGAUCGAUCUAUCCAUCUACCAUGCCAUGCAUCGUUAAAAGCGAAGUUAGGAUCUAUGACUAGUGAAGUACUUAUUAAUUUCCACCGGCAUCUGUACUGAUCAGGCGGUGCAGAGUGAUCAAUGCCAGAAACAUGCGUCUCUCUCUCUCUCUCUCUCUCUCUCUCUCUAUCUCUCUCUCUCUCUCUCGGUUCUCUCUUAACUCCAAUCCAGUGGAGUAUACAUCAAUCAUAUACUCCUACUGUAGUGACUUCAUACGGAGUACAUCACGAAGAUUUGUACGCAGUAUUUGUAAUACGUACUCCUAAUGAGUACGUAUUAUGUUCCCUGCACAUCAUAAACAAGUAACUUUUUCUAUAUGUCUUGAGUCAAACUUUAUAAACCUCAAUGGAGUAUUUGUAAAUCAUAUGUUUAGAUUAGUCUCUAAAGGCAUAUUCAUGACAUUAUAAUACGAGUGAAUUUCAGUUUUUGCUCCUUACUUUCACAUUUUUUAUAGCAAUCAGCCCACAACAACUCCUCAUCCAGAUUGCCCCAUUUAACAAAAAAAUUGCCCAUUUUGUACUCCAAAUAUUUUUAGAGUAAUCUACCAGGUUGGUCCCAUCUGUCGGUUAUGUGUGGCGUGCCACGCCGUGUUUAUUCUACUAGCGAUUUUCCCGCACCAGAACCCAGUUUGCCUCCUUUAGCCGGACCAACCCCGUGUUUAGUGACCAUGUUGUAAGCCUUGUUUCUUUUUCUAGAAUACGCAUAGUUAAGAAUAUGUAUCAUAUAUUCAUAGAAGAAAGGGCAAGACAUCCGUCCACAGAACUACAACGGGGCACUUAGCCCAGAUUACAUGGAUUACUCGCUAAAGACCCGCCUAAACAACCUCUGACAAAAAAUAAGGACAUGUCUCCAUGAAACAACCUCACUGCAGCCCAAGUCCGCCCCUCCUCAUAGAUCAUGCCGAGCACCACCGUGAUGGAAGGAGAAGCAUUGUCAAAAGAUGAUUGCAUUGCGGCGCUUCUAGAUUUCUCUGCACACGAGAAGAGUGAGAGUAUGCAGGUCCUUCCUCAUCGGAGGUGUUGUCUACAAUGAAGCUGUUCACGACAGGAGACGAUCUAUUCCUUGUGGUGCCCAAGCCUUGAUACCCCACGCUGACACCGGAUGCCAGACGACACUUGCGAAACCGCAGGCAACAAACAGAUGAUCAAUGGUUUCCGGCAGUUGAGCGCAUAGCGGGCAAACAUCCUGAUGUGGCAAUCCCCGCCUCGCCACCUGAUCAGAGGUCCAACACCUAUUCUUAAAAGCAAGCUACGCAAACAACUUGCAAUGCAACGGAGCCCGGCAUUCCCAAACCAUCCUUGCUGCAAGGUCAUGUUCACGAACGUCAAAAUGACUCGCAUAAGCUGACUUGGUCGAAUAUUUUCCAGAAGCCUCCCAAGCCUAGCGCACUACAUCAUCCACAUCGUGUCUAAGUUCCACGCCUGACACCAGGUGCCACAGCUGCAAGUAAUCCCCAAUCUCCUCAGCACUGAGAUCCAACCAAAUACCUCUCGGCCAAAGUCCAGCUAGGGCCUCAUCCACUGUCCUGGAGCUCCUUACUCUGGGACAUAUGCGCACAUAAAGUAUUGGGGCGAUCUCCUGAACUCUCUUCCCAGAAGCAUGUCCCUCUUCCAUUCCCUACAUCAACAAAAACUGCCGCUCGAUAAACUGCCAAGUAUUUUGCCGAAAUACUGAUGUCAAACUCCGCCCACGGCCUCUCCCUGUCAACCCUCCGUAGCCACAACGAUAUAACCCUUAAUGUUGUAUUCAUCCAACACAAGUCAUGUAACCCUAGGCCACUAGUCCACUUAGGUGUGCAGACGAUGUUCCAGGCAACCAUGCACUACCCACCAUUCGCCGCCGAGCUCCCUGCCCAGAGGAAGCCUCUAAAGAUUUUAUUUAUGGCGGCAAGCACCUCCGCCUUAUUGAUGGGGACUUUGGAGUCAACAUGUAUUAUAUCUGAAUUCAUGCUAUCCUCAUAUAAAUGCAUAGUUAAAACAUUAUUAGUAAACCAAAAACCUUGCAAAAUUAUUCAAAUGAGUUCUUAAAUUGGUGUUGUGAAAUAAAUGUGACCUAACAAUCGGCCUAGUAUUUAUCGUAGGCCCUCCAUGCCAUAAUAAACCCCUUUGAUUAAUUUCAAUUAUAUAGACUAAUUCUGAUAUUUGAAUAAAGUGAUAAUUGUUCAAAUUUAAAUAUUGAUAGAAUUAUAAAUUAUAUCGUAGGUGAUAAGUUCUUUGAUGAGAUUUCAUGAAAAUAAAUAUUUGAGGCUUUAUAUGGUAGUGAUUAGUUCUAGUAAAAUUUCGUCAAUUUUGAGGUCAUUUCACCUACUCACGUUUCAAAUCAAAACUUGGGGCAUCACUUAGUUUGACUGUAAAUGACAGUCAACUCAUCGGAUUUUUUUUGAAACUUUCAUAGUAAUUAGAAAUAACAUAUAUGAAACCUAUGGAUUUUUAUUGGAGUUUUAAGCCUUGAAAAUAAUGUAUUUAACUAUUUAAAAGAGUUGAGGAAUAAUAAGAAAAGGAAUAGAUUAAUACUUAUCCAAAACCCAAACCGGGCCUAAUCAGGCCAACUCGGCUUUUCUCCUCUUGAACGUUACCUAGGAAAAUAAACAAGGCGACAACGACAAGAGUUUGAGACGCGACUGAGAUCUCACGGGUUCCCUCACCUCUAGCCAUGCGCCAGAAGGCAGGGUGGGGUGGGGGGACCUUGGGUCCUCCUUGGAAUGUUCAGAAGUUUACGGUAGUAUAGACUUUAUGGUCGUUGUCGGCGAUAUUCACCCAGAGGGUGCAAUAAUGUUGAGAAUAAAAGCGCUCUGGUUCUUCCUUUGAUGCGCCGGCGCCUUACUAAACAUCACCAUAGAAUUAAUGAUAGAUAUUGUGUCUCCGCGGGUUUGGUCUUAUAGGUUUUGGGUUUAUGUUCUUGCAGAUGCAUCCAUGAGGAUUUGAUGAGCUUGUAUUAUUGUAUCUUCUGCUUUUGUUGGUAUGUUCUUUUGUGCCUUCUUGGAGUGCUUCUCAGGCUUUUUCAUGAAGAUUUUGUGUUCGACGACCUCUAAUCUCGUGGAUCAUCCUUGGCCCAAGUACAUUAAAUGCUCAACAAUUUCCACCUCUUUGGAUGGGAAACUGAAGGGGGCUUUUGAAAAUCUUGAAAGUUGGUCGAUUUUGUGUAGGUAUAUGGGGAGUGGUGCCGCUGCUCUUGUCUGGUUGUUGUACCGUUGUAGAAGCUUUUGAUAGUAUUUCCCAUGUUGCAGAUUGUUGUUACUUUGGAGGGGAUGAACACCACACAUCUUCAUUUGGUCUCGUAUAAGAAUCAUAUGUAAGUUAGUUAUGUUGUCUUUGCUGGUCAGAAAAUCAUCACUGGAUUCGGCAAAUUGACAUCGUCAAGUUUUUUUCCUUGCAUUUAGGAAAAAUUUACAACUGUGCCAUGUUGGUAUCAAAGACAUUAAUAAAACUUGCUAAUUUCCAGCAGCAACAUGCGGGCAAGAAACUACUCCCUCCGCAAGGAAAUAUAAGAGCAAAUAGUGAUCUAAACACUCUCAUAUUUCUUUACAGAUGGAGUAGUUUAUAAUCAUUAUAGAUAACAGCGAAUGUCAUAAAACUUAAGCUCAACACAUUAUUUUAUUGAUGAUUCGAUCAGUAAUCUGCUCGAUCUGUAUUAACGGCAACAGAUGGAGGUCGAACACAUGGAGAAAACAACAACGAACACACGCAGAGAGCAGCAACAGUAGACACCGAGUGGGCUAGCUAGCCUGGUGUGAUGAUGAUGCUGGUAGAUAACUUAGUGAAGGCUGCAAACACACAGACACAAAAGCUCAACGAUUAGUCGUACUAUUUAUAGUACUUACGAACUAAGAUAAAAUGGCUAAUGAGUACUUAAAAUAUAAUAUUUCAAGUU